RNAcentral lists this transfer RNA (72 nucleotides) under Heterocephalus glaber (naked mole-rat). It matches the Rfam family "tRNA". Rfam says of the family: Transfer RNA (tRNA) molecules are approximately 80 nucleotides in length. Their secondary structure includes four short double-helical elements and three loops (D, anti-codon, and T loops). Lineage: Eukaryota; Metazoa; Chordata; Mammalia; Rodentia; Bathyergidae. The record is from Rfam by way of RNAcentral.
GUGGUUGUAGCUCAGUGAUAGAAUAUGUGCUUAGAAUGCAUAAGGCCCUGGGUUCAAUCCCCAGCUUCCCCU